UCCAGACGAAAAUAGAUCUCCCCCCAUCGUCUCACUGGCCGACCUUGACCCCAUAUUUUGGGGUCAUAUCUAGUAUUCAGAGUUUGCCUCGAUUUGGUGUCUGACUCUAACUGGGGUUCGCGGUGGUGGAGGAACCAGAUCGGAAAAAGGUGGAAUUCUCAGCUAGCUGGACUUUGCCAGUUGAUGAGCACCCCCAACAAAUGGCAGUCAACAAUCUGAUCACUGUGGAAGCCCAGAGUUAGUUAACAAGGUCAGAGUUCGGAGUUGAUGGACAUGUGAAUUGGAGGAGGGAAAGGCAUAUCUAGAUGAAAUGGACCCGCAACAAAUGAAAGUUUAAGAACCCACUGUGGAAGAGAAGCAGACCUGUGACCGUGAAAGAAAGAAAUCUGAAGUUGUAUUUUUUUAUUUCCGAAUUUUUCGGUGCAUGGCGUAUGCCUGCAAAACAGCGCGGCAGGCGCAUCGUGCAUGCGUGUUAUACUAGUGCUCAUAAGAGAAAGUUUUUUUUAUCUCUUAUCAGAGAUCUAAACAGCAAAGAUGAGGUAUGAAGUGAAUUAUGCAUCGUGGGUAUUAAUUGGCUUGAGAUGCCAAUUCUUCCACCAUUUGUUUCCCUCUCUAACAAUAAGGUUCAGAAUAGAAAGAAAAGGGAAAAACUGACUUGAUUUGAGUUUGUAAUUCAUUAGAUAUGGUGUUGAUCUCUAAUAUAUACAGUAUUAGAUCAACUUUACAUAGGUCAUUAUCUUAUUAUACUAAAGGGAAAUCGAAAAAAACGUGCAAUAGGAACUGCUAUAAUUUUUUA
This is a long non-coding RNA of Papaver somniferum (opium poppy), 796 nucleotides long. RefSeq lists it as uncharacterized. The transcript is spliced from 2 exons. NCBI's taxonomy places the organism in Eukaryota, Viridiplantae, Streptophyta, Magnoliopsida, Ranunculales, Papaveraceae. The record is from RefSeq and is a predicted model, not a curated record.